GUAACAAGGUUUCCGUAGGUGAACCUGCGGAAGGAUCAUUACCGAGUGAGGGCCCUCUGGGUCCAACCUCCCACCCGUGUUUAUUUUACCUUGUUGCUUCGGCGGGCCCGCCUUUACUGGCCGCCGGGGGGCUCACGCCCCCGGGCCCGCGCCCGCCGAAGACACCCUCGAACUCUGUCUGAAGAUUGAAGUCUGAGUGAAAAUAUAAAUUAUUUAAAACUUUCAACAACGGAUCUCUUGGUUCCGGCAUCGAUGAAGAACGCAGCGAAAUGCGAUACGUAAUGUGAAUUGCAAAUUCAGUGAAUCAUCGAGUCUUUGAACGCACAUUGCGCCCCCUGGUAUUCCGGGGGGCAUGCCUGUCCGAGCGUCAUUGCUGCCCUCAAGCCCGGCUUGUGUGUUGGGCCCCGUCCUCCGAUUCCGGGGGACGGGCCCGAAAGGCAGCGGCGGCACCGCGUCCGGUCCUCGAGCGUAUGGGGCUUUGUCACCCGCUCUGUAGGCCCGGCCGGCGCUUGCCGAUCAACCCAAAUUUUUAUCCAGGUUGACCUCGGAUCAGGUAGGGAUACCCGCUGAACUUAAGCAUAUCA
This 584-nucleotide unclassified non-coding RNA is filed under the name Penicillium albocoremium. RNAcentral describes it as "sequence contains 18S rRNA gene, ITS1, 5.8S rRNA gene, ITS2, 28S rRNA gene". The stretch from base 218 to 370 matches the Rfam family "5.8S ribosomal RNA". Lineage: Eukaryota; Fungi; Ascomycota; Eurotiomycetes; Eurotiales; Aspergillaceae. The record is from RNAcentral.